This 605-nucleotide ribosomal RNA is filed under the name uncultured bacterium. RNAcentral's name for it is "bacterial SSU rRNA". The stretch from base 1 to 517 matches the Rfam family "Bacterial small subunit ribosomal RNA", at positions 338 to 873 of the family's 1533-position model. The record is from RNAcentral.
CCUACGGGAGGCAGCAGUGGGGAAUCUUGCGCAAUGGGCGAAAGCCUGACGCAGCCAUGCCGCGUGAAUGAUGAAGGUCUUAGGAUUGUAAAAUUCUUUCACCGAGGACGAUAAUGACGGUACUCGGAGAAGAAGCCCCGGCUAACUUCGUGCCAGCAGCCGCGGUAAUACGAAGGGGGCUAGCGUUGCUCGGAAUUACUGGGCGUAAAGGGAGCGUAGGCGGAUAGUUUAGUCAGAGGUGAAAGCCCAGGGCUCAACCUUGGAAUUGCCUUUGAUACUGGCUAUCUUGAGUACGGAAGAGGUAUGUGGAACUCCGAGUGUAGAGGUGAAAUUCGUAGAUAUUCGGAAGAACACCAGUGGCGAAGGCGACAUACUGGUCCGUUACUGACGCUGAGGCUCGAAAGCGUGGGGAGCAAACAGGAUUAGAUACCCUGGUAGUCCACGCUGUAAACGAUGAGUGCUAGUUGUCGGCAUGCAUGCAUGUCGGUGACGCAGCUACGACAUAAGACACUCCGCCGUCGGGAGGUACGGUCGCGAGAAUUAAACUACAAUAGUAAGUUAGUACGGCGUGAGACGUGACCGACGGACGACGACGAGGGAGGAGG